This 253-nucleotide ribosomal RNA is filed under the name uncultured bacterium. RNAcentral describes it as "partial 16S ribosomal RNA". It matches the Rfam family "Bacterial small subunit ribosomal RNA", at positions 524 to 776 of the family's 1533-position model. The record is from RNAcentral.
UACGUAGGGGGCGAGCGUUGUCCGGAUUUAUUGGGCGUAAAGCGCGCGUAGGCGGUGCGGUAAGUCGGCCGUGAAAUCUCCCAGCUCAACUGGGAGGGGUCGGGCGAGACUGCCACACUCGAGGUGGGCAGAGGCCGGUGGAAUUCCGGGUGUAGUGGUGGAAUGCGUAGAGAUCCGGAGGAACACCAGUGGCGAAGGCGGCCGGCUGGGCCUGGCCUGACGCUGAGGCGCGAAAGCGUGGGGAGCGAUCCGG